This is a long non-coding RNA of Prinia subflava (tawny-flanked prinia), 2671 nucleotides long. RefSeq lists it as uncharacterized. Lineage: Eukaryota; Metazoa; Chordata; Aves; Passeriformes; Cisticolidae. The record is from RefSeq and is a predicted model, not a curated record. The transcript has 3 exons.
CUGAACUGCAGGUGUGUCCACCGGACCAGAGCUGGUUCCCAUGGGAACUUGUACGAAGACAAUGGACGGCUGGACAGCCUGUGCUUACCUGCGGCCAGGCCCAGACCUGCUUGUCCCAGACCUGCCUGAUCUGAAUGGUUGCACCUGAUUCCCAGAGCAACGGGGCUCCUCACAAUGACUCUUGGGUGCUCCCCCCACGUUGGCCAGGUGCCCCCCACUUUUGCCUGUGUUGGCCAGGUGCCCCCAGCUUCUGAAAUGGCUAUAAAACCUUCCCCCUGUGACUCACACUUCGAGAUCUCCCCACGGACAAAAGACGGAUCCAUUGGCCAGACGCCACGCCACGAGGACGUCGCUCUGCCGUUGGAAUCUGUAGGACAGUCUUCAUGGCAUAGAAUUUUGGUAGUAGUUCUAUCAGAAAAUGUGAGUGAAAUGGCAAACUGUGGGACACUUAAUAUUCAUGCAGAAAUAGUAUUGAGCGAAACACUAUGGAAAACCUUCUAAUUCUGAAAUUCUAGACUUGCUCAACACCAUCAAAGCAAAGAAUAAUUCACAAGAUUCAGUUAUUCCACAUCUACUUCAAACAACUUGAUGAAAAAGAAAUUUGGAAUCAACCUCAGCAAAAAUACGUACAGGAAAAUUGAUAUGAUUACUUUUUGAGAUCUGAAUUUGAAAUAGAAGAAAAAAUAUAAACUUAAAUUUCUAAGGAAAGGAAAAAACUCCACCUUUGCUGUCUUUAUACUGGUCGGUAAGAAAUUUUGUUGUUUCUACACUACAAAGACACAUGUUGAAUUGUAAGAUUUUCUCAUUGUCAGCUUAUGAAUUUCCAACUAUAUAUAGUUGGAAGAUCUGUAUAGGUCAGCAUAUCUAAAUAUACUAUACAAUACAAUUUUGGAGUAAGUUAUUUUUGUUUAAGUCAAAGUGGAGAACUAUACAAAUGGCUAUAAAUAGAUAGAUAUUGAUCCAUUGCUCUGUACGCUAUAAAAAUAAUGAAAACCAGUACUUUAAUUCCUCAUAUUGUAGCCUGUGACAGUGUUUUACAGUCAGAAAUAUUGAUCUGAAUAUGAAAAUAUUCAGUAAAAUCAGUUCACAUUUUUCCACUUAUUUUCCAACUUUAUUGUAAUAUUCUGCAUCUUUAUCCCUACAGGUACCUCUCUUAUUGUUGUCAUGACAAUGAUGUGUUUCAAUACAGCAAUUAUAGAAUUAAACCUAUACACUGCUUUAUUAAUCAUUUGUUCCAUAUUGUUAACACAGACUUGUGAAAUGGAAAUUAAAUAGAAAAACAAUUAACAAAUGUAUCUUUUAAUGUCAUGGUUUAACAUAGCUUGGCUUUUAGUUAAAGAGAAAAAUCAUCAGUUGUGGAAGAAAUUCUCUGCGAGGACUGCUAACAGCUACCUUUGGACCCAACAGCUGGCUAGUUUGAAUAUUGACAACCGACUGAACCACUAAGAAAGCUAAACACGCCUCUCUGAAGACACAUAUAAAAACAAACAAAUUGCAGAGAGGAAUCUCUCUCUUGCUUUCUCUGGCUGCUGCUCGGCAGGGAUCACAUGGCCAUCCACAGGCCCAGGAAAAAUAUUAAUUCUUUUACUAAACAGAUGAAACUUGCAAACAUCAAUCCUCUCUCGAGUGAGAGAAAAGGGUGAAGACACGUAGAGAAACAACAUGAAGACACCAGGGUCAGCAAAGAAGGAGUCAAAUCCCAGAUGGGAGGAGAAUGAGGAGAUGCCUUUAGGAUUGUGCUGAAAUUUUUUUUUUGCAAGGUGAUGGUGAUGGACUCUAAUACCCUGAAAUAUCCCUGUAAUUCAUGAAUAAACAUGGGGGGGUAGAGUGUUCAAACUGUAGACAAGGCCAAAGGCAUCCAUGCUGAAGCAAGCAAAUGCUGAAGUAGCUGUGAUCCAAAUGAAAAGCUUAAACAGAGAGAUACAAAAGUGAUGAAGACCCUUUGCUCCCAGGGAAGAAGAAAACCUCUGUUCCCAGAGAUGAAAAUGAUCUCAGAGAUAGAUAAAGAGAAUCAUUUCUUUUGAACAGCUCAUCCUUAAAAUAGUACCCCAUAAGCUGACAUGGCUCAUGAAGGCAGCUGUGGGAAGGCUGAAAGGCAUGGGAAGAACUUUCACACUGCAAAUAGAUUUUCUUUUCCAAGGCAGCUGAUUUGCUGGGACAUUGAAGCCACAAAAUAAUUUUUUCUUGUGGAGAAGUCUCCAUGGCAUGGCAAGAGAGACUCCUCUCCCUAAACGAACUGAUGAAAGACUAUUUUAGAGGUGGUAAAGAGACUGAAAGUUCUAGAUUUUGUCUAUAUUGUCAGUGGGAAAGAAAAGAGAGUGUAGGGGGAGAAGUAUUCUGAAGGUUUAUUCUGAUUUCUUCUUAUUUUUCUUUUAAUUCUGUUAAUAAAGUUUUCGUUAUACCCUUUAAAGUUUAUGCCUGCUUUGCUGUCCUAUUAAUCUUUGUCUCACAGAAGAAAAAGAGUAAAUAAUUCUAGUGGGUGUGUUGGCACUUGACCAACACUAAUCCCACUAUAUUUAAUUGGUGCAUUGGCCGGGAAACUCAGAUUGGCAAACCAAAACCAUGACACUUAAUUAGUGUUUCUGCCUGGUUUUGAACAAAACUGCCACAAUGGUAUAAACAGCAUUCAUAGUUCUCAGAUUUUAUGGAAAAAAUAUGCUACUGUAAGCUG